UUUUUUGCAUUUUGUAAGUCGCUCUGGAUAAGAGCGUCUGCUAAAUGACUUAAA
Non-coding RNA from Salmo salar (Atlantic salmon), 54 nucleotides. The record is from Rfam. NCBI's taxonomy places the organism in Eukaryota, Metazoa, Chordata, Actinopteri, Salmoniformes, Salmonidae.